This 434-nucleotide ribosomal RNA is filed under the name uncultured Lachnospiraceae bacterium. RNAcentral describes it as "partial 16S ribosomal RNA". It matches the Rfam family "Bacterial small subunit ribosomal RNA", at positions 341 to 792 of the family's 1533-position model. The record is from RNAcentral. Lineage: Bacteria; Bacillati; Bacillota; Clostridia; Lachnospirales; Lachnospiraceae.
ACGGAAGGCAGCAGUGGGGAAUAUUGCACAAUGGGGGAAACCCUGAUGCAGCGACGCCGCGUGAGUGAAGAAGUUAUUCGUAAUGUAAAGCUCUAUCAGCAGGGAAGAAAAUGACGGUACCUGACUAAGAAGCCCCGGCUAACUACGUGCCAGCAGCCGCGGUAAUACGUAGGGGGCAAGCGUUAUCCGGAUUUACUGGGUGUAAAGGGAGCGUAGACGGUUCUGCAAGUCUGAUGUGAAAGGCAGGGGCUCAACUCCUGGACUGCAUUGGAAACUGUAGAACUAGAGUGCCGGAGAGGUAAGCGGAAUUCCUAGUGUAGCGGUGAAAUGCGUAGAUAUUAGGAGGAACACCAGUGGCGAAGGCGGCUUACUGAACGGUAACUGACGUUGAGGCUCGAAAGCGUGGGGAGCAAACAGGAUUAGAUACCCUGGUA